Long non-coding RNA from Culex quinquefasciatus (southern house mosquito), 734 nucleotides. RefSeq lists it as uncharacterized. The record is from RefSeq and is a predicted model, not a curated record. NCBI's taxonomy places the organism in Eukaryota, Metazoa, Arthropoda, Insecta, Diptera, Culicidae. The transcript is spliced from 2 exons.
UUCUGGGCCGACCAUCGGGUCCGCCCGGAGAGGUCCUGCCUGGGUUGCCCGGGUUGGGACAGUUCCGGUGCGGUUCCCCCGAGCCAGCCUGCGGUCUGCGAAUCGUUCAUCUAGCGAAUUCAAUUUCCUCGUGAAAGGUAAUAAGUUCAAAUUUAGAACAUAAAAAAAGUGCAUCCGACGUAUCCGAAAACAGCAAGCCUUGGAUUACCAACCGCUCGAGCCUACUUGGAUGACAUCCGGCCAACGUGUUUGAAGAAGAAGUGCUGUUUUGUAAAUCAAAUAAAAAAACAAGUGAUCACGUGAAAUUAAAUAUUUGUCCAAAAUGAUAGUGCGCGAACAGAGCUAUUGUGGAGAGUGUGUGGCCUACUACGGCCGAUGAUGAUGCGAGCUAGCUGCAGCAAUUGCAGCCAAAGUGCACUAUGAUUGUUAUUUCAGACGCCGUCGGUGCAAUAUUCUUCAAAGUGCAGUCUAGUUGAGUCGAGAGAAAGAAGAAUAACUGGAACGGAAUAUUGUCUAUAAAUAAAAUGUUUGCGAGCCGGCUCCGAGCCAAGGAAAUGCAAUUUUGCGACGGUGCAUCUUUUGUUGAUUUUGUGCAGGGAUUGUGUGUGUGCGAGUUUGUGUAAAGUUAUAAUUUGCAAUUACGUGUGCUAGUUUCUGGUUUUCAGUUACAGGAUGGUGCUUCAGUAUAUAAAUGAAAUAUUUCUAUGUAAUCAUUAAAAAUCAAUGUGUACAAA